Pseudophryne corroboree (corroboree frog) is the source of this 1023-nucleotide long non-coding RNA. RefSeq lists it as uncharacterized. The transcript is spliced from 2 exons. Lineage: Eukaryota; Metazoa; Chordata; Amphibia; Anura; Myobatrachidae. The record is from RefSeq and is a predicted model, not a curated record.
AAGAGGUGCGAGCGUUAAUGUGGCGUCCUCACUCUCACACUGACACGCGGCAUUGAGAGAAGAAAAGGGGAAUUACUUAUAUCCCUAUUCAAAUAUUUGCUGGAUGAACAGAGCAGAGGGUUGUGCUUUCCCUGUGAGAGAAUGGAGCAUUUCCAGUAUGGGUUACUGGUGGGGCAGCGCCCUGAGUCUCAUAGGCUGCUGUUAGAGGGGGGAGAGAGGGAAGUGAGCCAGCCUCAGAAAAUAAGUUUCACUUUAGUUCCAUGUGGCAGGCGGAGCAGCUGGGAGAUAAAGAGACAUCUGCAGAACAGAGAACAAUGCAGGGAUACGGGAACCCUGAGUUCCAGGAGGAGAAGUCGGAGGAAAGCAGCCAGCCUCCUCCAUAUUAUAGCCCCCCAGCACCUGGACCCCAGUACCAGCCAUCCCAGCCCCCUACCUACCCACCUCUCCAGCCCGCUACCUACCCACCUCUCCAGCCUCCGAUCUACCCACCGUACCAACCUCCCAACUACCCGCCUUACCAACCUCCUAACUACCCACCUUACCAACCGACUACAGGGGGCCUUGGAUUACAGCAGCCGCUCAUCUGCCAGCCUAUGACCAAUGUCACUGUGGUGAACACCCAGUCUACAGUCGUGGCUCACCGGCCAGUAUAUAAGGAUUACAUGUGCUGGUCCAUCCUGAAUAUAUUUUUUUGCUGUCUGCCUCUUGGAAUCGUUGCUCUGAUCUUCUCCUGCAAGACAAGAUGCGACAUGGACAGUCACGAUGAUGCGGCCGCAGCACAAAGCUCUCGUAUCGCACACGCUCUAAACAUCGCAGCCCUACUGAUCGGAAUUGUUUUAAACAUCGUAGUUAUUCUAUACUAUACCGGGACAAUAAGAUUUUAAGUUUUUUUUUUUUUUUUUAAAGAAAAUCUGCACUUUCUCAGCAAUCUCUGCUCUGCUUGGACCAAACUUUGAUGCAUCUAUGAAGACAUUUACUGUCAAUAAACCUUUUUUUUUGUUUUGUUAUUUUUAUAGAACAGAA